GGGUUUGCAGGAUUCUUGCUAAUAGGAAAUUUUUUGUCCCAUUAAAGGAGAUGAAGAUUCGUUACAUAAUUUUGUGGAAGAGGGUGCAGAAGCUUAGGAUUAAAUACGCUAACCUCAGCAAAUAUUGCCAGGCUUCAGAGAGAAUGUAUGGAUUCAGAUGAAAGGAUUAAGGGGUUGAGAAAGCUCGUAGAGGCUGAGGAAAGAAACACAGUUUAAAGACAGUGUGCAUCAUUUCGUAUUUGUUUAUGCCUUAAAAAAUUGAAUGUGAUGUCCCUUUUAUAUGCAAGACUUUGAAUUUCUAGUAGGUGGUUAGGCACUAUUGCAAUAAGUAAUUUUUGACUUUGUCAUAUGAAAAGGGACUAAAGUUACAAAAACUGUGCUGCUGAAAAAUUCCCCAUAAUAGCAUUAUAUUAUAUUUUGAAA
Molecule: long non-coding RNA, 423 nt
Organism: Glycine soja
Lineage: Eukaryota; Viridiplantae; Streptophyta; Magnoliopsida; Fabales; Fabaceae
Exons: 2
Source: RefSeq, a predicted model, not a curated record